Molecule: long non-coding RNA, 223 nt
Filed under: Setaria italica (foxtail millet)
Lineage: Eukaryota; Viridiplantae; Streptophyta; Magnoliopsida; Poales; Poaceae
Description: long non-coding RNA (SITA_LNC006994)
Source: RNAcentral
AAACCAAAGUGUUGACGUCGGAAUCGGCUAAAAAGAGCGACGUUGUGGACCCCAUGAAUCAAGCUAUGGUCGAAGAUGUCAAGGGGAAGAGAUGGGUUGAUGAUGAGGGUGAAGGAUCAGAAAGACCGCGCAGACCUAUUACCUCCCAGUUCUUGCUCAACAAGUAUCAGCGGCAAUAGGACAGUUCGAGAUAUCACGAAGAAAUAAUGCGAUGACACGAAGA